This 335-nucleotide ribosomal RNA is filed under the name Fischerella sp. MKC.22G. RNAcentral's name for it is "bacterial SSU rRNA". It matches the Rfam family "Bacterial small subunit ribosomal RNA", at positions 437 to 787 of the family's 1533-position model. The record is from RNAcentral. Lineage: Bacteria; Bacillati; Cyanobacteriota; Cyanophyceae; Nostocales; Hapalosiphonaceae.
UCUCAAGGAAGAAGUUCUGACGGUACUUGAGGAAUCAGCAUCGGCUAACUCCGUGCCAGCAGCCGCGGUAAUACGGAGGAUGCAAGCGUUAUCCGGAAUGAUUGGGCGUAAAGCGUCCGCAGGUGGUUGUGUGAGUCUAUUGUCAAAGCAUCAGGCUUAACAUGGUAAAGGCGGUGGAAACUACACGCCUAGAGUGCGUUCGGGGCAGAGGGAAUUCCGGGUGAAGCGGUGAAAUGCGUAGAGAUCCGGAAGAACACCGGUGGCGAAAGCCCUCUGCUAGGCCGCCCCUGACACUGAGGGACGAAAGCUAGGGGACCGAAAGGGAUUAGAUACCC